Molecule: long non-coding RNA, 1302 nt
Organism: Mesocricetus auratus (golden hamster)
Lineage: Eukaryota; Metazoa; Chordata; Mammalia; Rodentia; Cricetidae
Exons: 4
Source: RefSeq, a predicted model, not a curated record
GACCAUCAAGGCAGGGAGCAUGGCAGCAGGCAGGCAGGGAUGGCUCUGGAACAGUGGUUGAGAGCUUAUAUCUUGAGUCAUAAGCAUGAAGCAGAGAGAGCUAACUGGGAUUGAUGUGAUACAUCCCCCAAUGGCACACCUCCUAAUCCUUCCCAAACAAUUCCACCAACUGGGUACCACAUUUUCAAACAUAUGAACCUGUGGGGGCCAUUCUCUAAAUUUAGUCAUUUCAGUAUCCCAAUGAGGCAGGGACUAUUCUUUUGCUUUGCUUGUUUUGAUUUGGUUUUUCAAGACAGGGUUUCUCUGUGUGUUGUUCUGGCUGUCCUAGAACUCACUCUGGCCUCCAACUCACAGAGAUCCACCAGCCGCCACCACCAGAGUGCUGGGAUUAAAGGCGUGUGCACCAAUGCUGGCAAAAGGAGCUAUUCUUAUUGUUAUUUUUCAGCAGGAAGUGUAAACACUGCUGCCUCUUUAAAAGAUGGAAGAACCACGACCCGGAGAGAUGAAGAGAUUAUAAAAGAGAGGGCUGGCAGCCUCUGGAGACAAUGAGUCAGCUCAGGCAGCCUCCAUUUUAAUGACUGCCUUGGUUAUUCUGGUGAAGUCAUAGCUGCUCUGCUGUCUUGGAGACAAUGCGGGCUUGCUGCACUGUCUCUCUCAGGAGGAUGAUCUCAAAGCAGGGCAACUCCUGGAGAGGGACUCCUCUGGGAGCUGGGAGCCCCUACUGCCCUCAGCCACUGAAUGGAGGUCUCUGGAGUGCUAUGGAAGAAGUGUUACCUUCUCUGCUUCUGUCACUGGGACCUUCCCGGAAGCUCAGCCUACAGUCUUCUUUUCCAGCCUGCCCGGAGGAUGCUGCCAAUGUCUGAUUGUCUACACAAGUCCCCUUCUACGUAAAACAACCACAGCGGUUCUUGUUUCCCACAGUCAAGCCCAGAUUCACUUAUUCUAUUAUCAUAUUCAUGAAGAGUGAAUGACAUUGGUUUAUUUAAAGACAUUUUUUUGGUGCCAUCUCUGAUCACAAGUAUCCUUCCAGGUCUAGGGGGCAGCACAGUGUGUAGCGUUUAGUAUAGUAAUGCAUUGUGAAGAGUUCAGUGUGGUGAUAUGCUAUGCAGAAUUCCGUGUGGUAACCAAGAUGAAUAAGGAUAAGGAGCUGUAGGGGUCAGACUAAGAGAGGGGGACUCAUGGAAGGUUCCUCAGAAGAAUGUAGGCUUUAUCUUCAGGAGAGAGGAAGUUUGCCAGGCAGACAAUGUGGGUAUCAAAGUCAGAAGCUUUUUCUUGCUUGUAAAUGAUAAAAUAAUAAACUAA